UAGAGAGAAGAGAAAGAAAGAAGAAGAAGAAGAAGAAGAUCUUAUAAGAGGAAGAAGAGGAGAGCAAGGUUAGGAAGCAAGAUAGAAGAGGAGAUUGAAGCUCUAGCUUAAGCUUUUAGGAGAUUGAGAUAAGAAAGCGGAAAAUAACAUGCAAGGGAAUUGGGAGGCUACUUCUAUGACAGGAUUUAUAGUGCCUGAGGUCCCAAAAGUGGUUGCUAAUGGUAUUCCUCAAGGUACUACAGGUUAUCCAGAAUUUUCAAAAUCCAAAACACCAGAAAUUCCAUAUAAGAAAGCGGAAAAUAACAUGCAAGGGAUUUGGGAGGCUACUUCUAUGACAGGAUUUAUGGUGCCUGAGGUCCCAAAGGUGGUCUCUAAUGGUAUUCCUCAAGGUACUACAGGUUAUCCAGAAUUUUCAAAAUCCAAAACACCAGAAAUUCCAGAUAAGAAAGCGGAAAAUAACAUGGAAGGGAUUUGGGAGGCUACUUCUAUGACAGGAUUUAUAGU
RNAcentral lists this long non-coding RNA (504 nucleotides) under Medicago truncatula (barrel medic). Its description in RNAcentral is "lncRNA gene36795". The record is from RNAcentral. Lineage: Eukaryota; Viridiplantae; Streptophyta; Magnoliopsida; Fabales; Fabaceae.